CCCCCGGGGACCUGGUAAGGGCCGAGGCUCGAAGAGGAAAUGGGUGGCCAUGGCAGUCGCCUAAAUGAAUAUUCCGCCGCAGAGACUUCGCCAAACAUUGGACACAGUAGGUAGAGGGGAAAAGAGGUCUCUUAACGGAGAAGAGGACAUUAACUCGGCUGCUCCCCGGAAAUGUGGCUUUAAUUCAACAUUAUUUACAACGGCAGCUUAGGAAAAACCUCACGCGAGGCGGGUCGGCGCAUAGCAUUGUGGGAAAUGUAGUUUGGUGGCCUCGACUUUGUGGUUUAGGUGGAGGCGUGCGGGAGGGGAAGCGAGCGGGAAAGGGGAGACUCAGACCCAGGAGAUGGGGUGGCAAGAGGAAUGAAGUGCGAAGAGCAGUGCAGAACUUUCCGUAUCCUUAAACCAAUCUGGACCUUCAUUUAUCUCGGCUGGCAUACGGAGAGGCCAGUAUUAUUCCUCACCACAUACCCUUGUGAGGACCUGGAAGAAUUACCGAUGGUAACAAUGUGCGUUCAUGCUAUUGUCCAGUGAAGGAGCCAAAAGCAAGGAAAGAGGAGAAGGAGUAAAAGAAGGAGGAGUAAACAGACCUUGACUCUGUCCCAGCUGCAGGUUGUGGAGCCAUAGAUCGCACCAGACAUUGGAGGGGAUUUGGUGCCCUGAAAACCCUGUGCAAGAGUAUGCUGGGGACCACCUCCUACAGAAGGGAAGGGAAGAGAGCAAAGUUGGAAGGAAGGAGAGGUCCAGCUGUGGUGUGGGUCCAAUAACAGAGUCUUGGCCAAUGCCCUUCAGAAUCGCCCUGAAUCGGGCAAGAUGGUCAGGCUUCUAUAACCCCACGUGGAUUGUCACCAAGGUGUGAGUAGGAUCGUGGCUGAGGCAGCUGUUUGCAUUCAGAAAAUUCCUGAAAGGGUUGGGAGAGCUGAGAGACAGCUGAAGAAGACUCUCAACCAAUAGCACUCCCAGGUAGGAGGGCGACAUGUCCUUCAUUGAAGGAGAUACGGCCUGCAUCUGGGUAGUGCAUCACAAUACCCACCGGAUGCCCCUUUCUGGGAGAAAGUCUGAUAAGAAAGCAAGAAUCAGGCCUCAGCAAAACCAUAAAGAAGACAGCUUGGUUUGAGUGUCCCUCUUAAGAUUCCCCUUCUUGUGAAGACUGACUCCUUUCCUUUUCCCUAGAAAGCCAGUGCUUUCAUGCUGCCCUGUGCUGGAUCCCGCCAUUUUCUCACCACCUCUAGGAACUUCUGCAGACAUUGUCCUGUUUCUCAGGGAUUAAAUACACUAGGACUUUG
Herpailurus yagouaroundi (jaguarundi) is the source of this 1283-nucleotide long non-coding RNA. RefSeq lists it as uncharacterized. The record is from RefSeq and is a predicted model, not a curated record. The transcript has 3 exons. Lineage: Eukaryota; Metazoa; Chordata; Mammalia; Carnivora; Felidae.